Molecule: long non-coding RNA, 801 nt
Filed under: Fukomys damarensis (Damara mole-rat)
Lineage: Eukaryota; Metazoa; Chordata; Mammalia; Rodentia; Bathyergidae
Description: lncRNA (ENSFDAG00000022748.1)
Source: RNAcentral
GCCAAUCACACAAAGUCCAACUGUCACAGUUACGAGGCCUCCAGACUGCCUUCUCUCCCCACUCCGAACCCUUCCGAUGUUACUCCAGCUAGCCACUGCUUGCACAUUCCCAGGGAUGGGAAGCUCACCCUCUUCCCAGCCAGUUCCUUCCCAUGUGAGAUGGCUCUGCCUGACAGUGACUCCUCCUACCGCACCACUCUCUCAACCUGGGUUGUCCCGAGUCACAAAUUCCCAUGGGACGCAGAGAGGAAGACAGGCAGAAGGAGAAGCAAAUCCCAGUACUCAGAGAUGCCCUAAUAACCUUUCCAGAUCUGAGAAGACAGGGAAGAAGCUCUUGGCUCUCAGCCUACCCCAGUCUACAGGACCAGAAGCAACGGCUCUGGCUCCUGCCCUCAAAGUGCAACCUGGAGAUGCAUCGUCCUGAGCCCUGCUGACAGGCUGGAUGGAACGGAAUGGGCUGCUCAUCGGACAAGGGUGGCUGCCCAGAGCCCUGCCCAGCCUCACAGAUGGCCCACCAGGCUGCCUAGCUUUGCCCCUCCAGCUAUUCCUGGGCUGGCCCUGUGCAAGCAGUCAUGACCCUGGUACCCCUCAAUAUAUACAUACCCCAGGGCUGUCCAGAGCUAAACCCAAAAGAGGUACUGAGGCAAAAAAAAUCUAAGUAACAGGUACCCAAGGCCCCAUGCUCUGAAAACUCCCUGCCACUCAGUACGCAUCAUACAGGAGGUCUUGGUCUGUGGCUUUAAGACUAUGAACUCCCAGUGCCUCAAGUUCUAGGAAAAUCAGAGCUCACAUUAAAAUGCC